Molecule: ribosomal RNA, 495 nt
Filed under: uncultured bacterium
Lineage: Bacteria
Description: partial 16S ribosomal RNA
Rfam family: Bacterial small subunit ribosomal RNA
Source: RNAcentral
UGACCGCUGGCGGCGUGCCUAAUACAUGCAAGUCGAGCGAACAGACGAGGAGCUUGCUCCUCUGACGUUAGCGGCGGACGGGUGAGUAACACGUGGAUAACCUUCCUAUAAGACUGGGAUAACUUCGGGAAACCGGAGCUAAUACCGGAUAAUAUAUUGAACCGCAUGGUUCAAUAGUGAAAGACGGUUUUGCUGUCACUUAUAGAUGGAUCCGCGCCGCAUUAGCUAGUUGGUAAGGUAACGGCUUACCAAGGCAACGAUGCGUAGCCGACCUGAGAGGGUGAUCGGCCACACUGGAACUGAGACACGGUCCAGACUCCUACGGGAGGCAGCAGUAGGGAAUCUUCCGCAAUGGGCGAAAGCCUGACGGAGCAACGCCGCGUGAGUGAUGAAGGUCUUCGGAUCGUAAAACUCUGUUAUUAGGGAAGAACAAAUGUGUAAGUAACUAUGCACGCCUUGACGGUACCUAAUCAGAAAGCCACGGCUAACUACGUG